RNAcentral lists this long non-coding RNA (594 nucleotides) under Gossypium barbadense (sea-island cotton). RNAcentral describes it as "long non-coding RNA (GBAR_LNC005814)". The record is from RNAcentral. Lineage: Eukaryota; Viridiplantae; Streptophyta; Magnoliopsida; Malvales; Malvaceae.
AGCCCUUUCUUUUUUUUUAAAAAAAAACUUUCAAACGCUUUCCUUUUCUCUCUGGCCUAGCGAAUUCCGGCCAAACCUCCGACGGUUACUCCGUCACAUGCACCACCGCUCGCGGUGGUCAGAAGGCCAAAAGCCCUCCUUUCUCUGGGCGUUCCACAGGUAGCCCCUUUUCUUCCUUAUUUUUUGAAAUAUUUCAUGUAUAUAUAAAAAAAAAUAUGCUUCAAUACUGAAAAUGAAAAAAAGAAGUAAAAAUAUAAAAAAAUAAGAAUCACCUCUCUUCUAAAAAAUGCUCUUUAUAUUCAAUAUAUGUCUGUCCCCCCCUUGUACAAUGUUUUGAUUUGGGCUUUAUAGCCACUGUUUACAUUUGGUAAAGGAAAAUCUUUUAGUUUCUUCCUAUUUUGUGCUACUAUUUUGUUUUCCUUUCCAUUUGUGUGCAGGUGAUCACGGAAAUUACGGCUGUGAUGAAGGUUUCACGAUGACCUUUCGGAGGCGUUAAUUAAGGCGUGAUUCAGAACCUGGAAUCAUGGCCUUGAAGGAGGCACGAUCUGUGGCUGCUGGCGCGGCACCGAUGGGGCAUUGAAACCGAAGGCAGAG